UGUCAAGGUAAAGUAUAUCAUUCUAUAUGCUUUGUUGGUGGCAGUCAAAGGCCUUUCUUUUUGGUUUUAAGUUAUUGACUUUACCAGUAUCUGCACUAGAGGGAGGGGCAGAAGUAUUUGAAUAACUUGUGUUGGAAAAAUGUAGCAUUUCAAGUGCUGUGGCUUUUGAUGUCAUGCUUGUUUCGCAUUCUGAAUGCCUUUGGUUUUGCUCCUUCAUAUGUCCAGUCAAGUGAUCCAG
RNAcentral lists this unclassified non-coding RNA (238 nucleotides) under Hevea brasiliensis (rubber tree). Lineage: Eukaryota; Viridiplantae; Streptophyta; Magnoliopsida; Malpighiales; Euphorbiaceae. The record is from RNAcentral.